RNAcentral lists this small nuclear RNA (122 nucleotides) under Solanum lycopersicum (tomato). RNAcentral describes it as "U5 spliceosomal RNA". It matches the Rfam family "U5 spliceosomal RNA". From Rfam's summary of the family: U5 RNA is a component of both types of known spliceosome. Lineage: Eukaryota; Viridiplantae; Streptophyta; Magnoliopsida; Solanales; Solanaceae. RNAcentral also lists the same sequence under 1 other name. The record is from Rfam by way of RNAcentral.
CAGCCAGGCAAUGAGCACAUCGCGAAUUAUUCUUUCGCCUUUUACUAAAAAAUAAAUACCGUGUGCUCGUUGCAAAUAGUGGCAUACGCCUACAUUCAGAAUGCUCAAUAUUUGUUUAAAAU